AGAGCGCGGCGGCCAGGACUCGGUCAUCAGACAGUACUCCCUGCCGCGUAGAGCCAAAUGUCACAGGUUGCACAGACUGAACACACAACCUUGUUGCUAUUCCACUACUCCCCAGUGCCCUGCUGACAGCCAUCGCAGGAGUGAAGGAAGUAGCAGGGGACAGAGGGAGAGCCCCCCGUGACAGACGGAAGUCAGCUUCUCAUGGUGGACAGACCAUGUGAGGCCCAGGCAAAGCAGGUGGAUGAGUGACAAUAGCAUGUGAUCACAGACACCACUCCUGCUUUCCAUCUGUUUGGAAAUGACUUCAAAGUUCCUCAAAGCAAGCACUCUGGCAAGUGAAGCAAGUACUAAUGAGUAUCUCCUGCCUGUGAGAGACUCCUCAUAACACAAUGAGCUCCCUCUGGGAGGUCUGGGCAAUGGUGAGCUUUGCUAUAACUGGGGCUGGCAGUAAAACUUUAUAAAACUGUAAAAUAUUUUACAGAUUGGCCCUGGACCUCUUGUGUUCUUUGCACAGUGAAGCAUUGUGGAGCCAUCACACAACAUGAGGCCCUUUUACAUGUUCUGUGGCUGUGUGUGUGUUUGUGCUAUGUGAACGUGUUCCAACAAAUGACAGACUUAGUUCCGGCCUAAGGGUUUACUACAUGCUGAAGGUCUUGGUUACUCAACAACUCUACUCAAAUCUUUACUCAUCUUCUCUUUAUCAGAUAAAAAAGUCUCUUUUUCAGCCGAUUAAUGUACAGUUUAAGCAGCAUCCUGGGUUUUGAUAACUUCAGGCAAAUGCAAACCAGAAAGAUACGACAACUAUGGCUCUAAUAAUUAAAAAAGAGCCAGAGAAGAUAGCUGAGCAAACGUGAUUACACUUGAAAGCUUAAUCCCUAAUGAAAACAGAAGUGGGACAAACAGAAUUGAACCCCCUCAGUCUUUUGAUUAUUUUUGAAAAUCAGUUUGUUUAUUCAAAAUCAUUUAGGGUCUCUAACACCCAACUGCAUUCAAUAUCUCCUGAAGCACCUGUACGUAAUUAGAAACCUGUUCAUAAUUACCAACAUGUGGUACAGUUUCGCCCCAAGCAUGGCAGGCACAGCUCUAUCCAGCAAAAUAUUUACUAUGCUUCACAGAUCAAACAGAAAUGGUAUGGAAGACAGCAUAUUGCCCUUUCACUAGUAAUUAGUGUCAUAUCUCACUUCAGUUAUUGCACAAACAGAAUAGCCCCACUGUGCACAUUACCUGGCACAGCUUUCCCACGCCACUGAAUCCUCUCACGUGAAAAACAUCAGUAAAAUUGGAAGAAGUGACCAAUGUUUUAUUUUUCUGCACAACCAAAUAAAACUAUUAUUUCACAAGUA
Long non-coding RNA from Lepisosteus oculatus (spotted gar), 1343 nucleotides. RefSeq lists it as uncharacterized. The record is from RefSeq and is a predicted model, not a curated record. NCBI's taxonomy places the organism in Eukaryota, Metazoa, Chordata, Actinopteri, Semionotiformes, Lepisosteidae.